This 9075-nucleotide long non-coding RNA is filed under the name Brassica napus (rape). RNAcentral describes it as "long non-coding RNA (BNAP_LNC006901)". Lineage: Eukaryota; Viridiplantae; Streptophyta; Magnoliopsida; Brassicales; Brassicaceae. The record is from RNAcentral.
GAAAGUGGGAAAGCUUCUUCAUCCUAACUCCUAUGAGAUUUAUUCAACAUCAUGGUGAUUCUCCACUACUUUUUGUAUCAAAAUCAAGCUUCUUACAUCGCGAUUCAUCCUGGUUUGAUUAGAAUGACAAAGUAGUUGUCAUAUUCCCAAACUGGAAAACUGGAAUCACCUUAUUUGAAAGUGGGAUAGCUUCUUUAUCCUAACUCCUAUGAGAUAGUACGAAGUUUUUACGAAGAAGUAUCCUUGAAGAUUUAAACCAAAUGAACCAAGCUCGGUCGUUGCGUAAUUACCGCGCAUACACGCCGUCCAGUCGCUACGUAGCGACCGAACAUCCGACCCACUCGGUCGCUACGUAGCGACUGAGCUCGAGCCAAAGCUCGGUCGCUACGUAGCGACCGAGCUCGAGCCAAAUCUCGAUCGCUACGUGGCGACCGAGCGCUUGUCCCGCUCGGUCGCUACGUAGCGACCGAGUGCUGGCCCCGCUCGGUCGCUACGUAGCGACCGAGCGCUCGUCCCGCUCAGUUGCUACGUAGCGACCGAGUACAAGCCAAACCUCGGUCGCUACGUAGCGACUGAACGCUCAUCCCGCUCGGUCGCUACGUAGCGACCGAGCUCAAGCCAAAGCUCGGUCGCUACGUAGCGACCGAGCUCGAGCCAAAGCACGGUCGCUACGUAGCGACCGAGCUCGUGCCGAAGCUCGGUCGCUACGUAGCAACCGGGCUCGAGCCAAAGUUCGGUCACUGUGUAGCGAUCGAACUCUUCCGAACGUCGAUACGUCACCAAUCCAUGCAUUCUCGUCAAACCUUCAAAUGCUAUCUCCCGAAGACCAUAGCAAGCUCAGUCAAUGUUUUCCGCUAUUCUAACUCAUCGAUCAAACUUCGCGGAUUAGAAACCGGGGAAAGUUCGUUCUUUAUCAAAAAAAAUCGUAGUAAACGUGUCGAGUCGGAAGACGGCCCAAAGGGACCUAAAACAUGACUCGAGGCCCAUCCUACGAUUUCUUAACCAAAAGCCCGUAAACCACAGCACGGUUUACGCUUGGUCCACAAGGAAGGAUAAAUGCCAAGUUUCCGCGGAUAAAUACGGAAGUUUUGAAGAUAAUUGUGAAGAUCGGGAAAAAUGGAAUAUCUCCAUUUUUAUGCUAUGACGGCUUAAGGGCAGAAGAGUAAAAGCGUAAACCGACCUUGGAGCUAGUAUAUAAGGAGUCCUAGGCGAGGAGCAUAGGAGAGAACUUUUUCAGAGCAAACUUAGCACUUAGAGCAAUUUAGGCAAUUUUACGUUUUUGUUAUUUCAAGCUGCGACUCAAUUAGGUUUAGCCGUCUUAGGGUUGCUAGAACUAGGAAUCUCGCCGACAGCUCUCGAGCCCAGGCUUAUACCUUGUUGUAAACGCUCAUACGCAGAUUCGGAAUAAGAUCUUCUUUGCUCUCUUUUUUGAUUCCUUAUUUUUAUCGUCGUUAUUAUCGUGUUAUGAUUGCUUGACGUGUGGUAAUUAGCAGAUAUUCGGGUCCUCUGGGAAAUUAGGGUUUUCCUAGUUUCCUUAUUUAAACGGAAAUCGACAGUGCGAAUUUCGGUUCCCACAGUUUGGUGCUAGAAGGAGGGGGAUACGGAUCAAUCUAACCCGCAAAAGCCACAUCACGCUCAGUCAGACAUGUCAACUAACGACGCGGAUAACGUGCAGACUCCUCUUAACGGAGAUAGCGGCACCGAUCUCCACAAUCCAGCAGCGGAUGUAUCCGCGGCCAACGCACAAGCCAACGCCGCGACGCUCGAGGAGUUUAAAAAGAUGUUCGCCACUUAUGAGAAAAGGUCGGAAGAACAGGAUAAGCUCGUGAAUACCUUGACCAAACAGGUUGAAACCUUAACGGCAAGGACCCAAGCAAUCCGUCCACGCGGAACCACCAAAAUCCGCGGGAAGAGGCUCGACUUCGCUACCCCACUCGACAGAUAAGGAGUCGCGCAGGAACGACCUUCCGGUCAAAACCCUAGCGAGAAAUCUCCCAUCGAAAAGGGGAACCCUGAAAGUCUUCCGCCCCCUGCAAAGGACUCGGAGGAUAACGAAGCCGAACGCAUUGACCUGGAUCCUAGUGAUGUCUCCAACGACACCGACGAGGACGUCGACAGACAUCCAAGAAGGACCAGGAGCCGAUCUGCUCAGGAAGGCUCCCCGUUCGAAAAACCAAUGACGGAAGAAGAAGAAAUCGCCUAUUGGAACGAACAAGAGGAGCUGGCUGAAAGGCAAACCGAGCUUACUCGCAGUAAACGCCGAUAGGCUCGGAAAUCUACUGACGAGACAUCGGAUAUCCGCGAUCUUCGUGACUACAUCACCAAGACUGCGGCAGCAGUGAGGGCCGUAAAGUCUCAAAUCCAUCAUGCUACUAGUGCUGCCCCCGAAAUCGAUCGACUGCUGGAAGGAGCUCGGAAGACCCCUUUUACCAGUCGCAUUUCGGACAUGAGGGUGUCCGAUCCGGGAAAAAUCGGAGUACCGAAGUACGAUGGUACGGCCGAUCCAAAAGCGCACCUUCAGGCUUUCCACAUCGCGAUGGGAAGAGCUAGACUGAAGGACGGCGAAAAGGAUGCCGGCUACUGCCGCCUGUUCGUUGAAAACCUGGAAGGAGCAUCACUUGAAUGGUUCGCACGCCUUUGUCGUAACACCAUCGGGAGUUUCCGAGAGCUCGCAUCGGAAUUUCUCAAACAAUACUCUGUAUUCAUAGACAGAGAAACUUCCGAUGUUGACCUAUGGAGUCUCUCCCAGAAGGAAGACGAACCCCUCCGCGAGAUUAUCAGUCGGUUCAAGCUGAUAAUGUCAAGGGUCAACGGGAUAAGCGACAAAGUGACCAUCGACGCGCUGAAAAAGACGCUCUGGUACAAGUCGAAAUUCAGAAAGUGGAUAACUCUCGACAAACCGCGAACGAUCCAGGAUACCCUCCACAAAGCGACGGACUACAUCAUAGUCGAGGAAGAAACUAAAGUCUUAUUGCAAAAACAUAAGGCGGCAAGACCAUCCUCGAAGGACGUGGAUCCAAAAGGGAGAAAGAAGAACUCUCGUAACGACAAAUACGUCCAUCACGAGGGGGAAGAUCUCCAAGGGGCGCAUAAUUAUGCGAUCAAUUCGGAUCAAGGCCGAACCACGGGCAACACGUGGACUCGCAAUCAAGGGUAUGACGAAAACACCUUCUGCAAGUUCCACCAGUCCCGAGGACACUCCACGACCAACUGCAAAGUCUUGGGAGCAAGACUGGCCGCGAAGCUACGAGAGCUCUCGGAAGUAACUAGCGUCAAGGAUCUCUUCCUCGAUUCUGAUCGCGCUCCAAAGACGGACAGAAAUCCGCCCGCUGAAAAAUCCCCUCUACGAAACCAGCCUGGGGAUAAACGCGGUAGGAGGCCGGACGACAAGGGGAACGAUAACAAUCGUCGCAGAGUCAACAUGAUCAUCGGAGGAUCACAAUACUGCAGCGAUACUGUGUCGGCCAUCAAGGCUUACCAACGGAAGGCAGAGUCGAGUUCAAAUUGGCCUACAUGGUCUCCUCCCCGAGAUGGCCAAAAUUGCUCGAUCACCUUCACAAAGGAAGAAGCCGGCGGCAUCGAUCAACCUCACUGCGACCCGCUCGUCAUAGAUCUCGUCAUACGAGACUUAGAAGUCGGAAGGGUACUCGUCGACACGGGAAGCACGGUCAACGUAAUCUUCCGCGACACUCUCAAGCGGAUGAGCAUCGAACUCGGAGAAGUAAUUCCGACGCCAAAACCACUCACGGGUUUUUUAGGCAAAGUAUCGAUGACUCUUGGAUCGAUCCAGUUGCCAGUCAUGGCCAAGGAGAUCAUGAAAAUCGUCGAGUUCGCGGUAGUCGAUCAUCCCGCUAUCUACAACGUGAUCAUGGGAACCCCAUGGCUCAACGCCAUGCAGGCAGUUCCGUUGACCUACCACCUGGGUCUCAAAUUCCCAACCCCAAGCGGAGUCGCGGCUAUCUGGGGAUGCCAAAAACAGUCGCGGCUUGCUUCCUCGCAGAGCACAAGUUAAGGCAAAUCACGACUUCUGCAGCUGCAAACGGCAAGCACACGAAGAUAGAUCGAUCUUCGGCCAAAAACGCCCCAAGGAAAGACGAACUAAAAUCGUCUGCCGACGCAAACGCAUCGGACGUCGAAACUCAACACGAGUCCGAAGCCCACGUACCACUCAACCGGAACAUCCGGAAAAUAGCGUUAACCCAGCCACGAUCGACAUGGUCAAGGAGGACAUCGCGACAUCUACCGCCGAGUAAAAACACUUGCGGCAUGAAACAGAACUACGAGAUGGCUUGAUCAUCGAAAGGAGUACGUAGGCAGCUCGUCAAAAGACGAGUUCAGCUAUCCCCCUCUCUAAAAAGGGGGGAGAGUGGGUGCGUAUACUCGUAUACUCCCACUUAGAAAAAUCUUCAUUAUUGUAAUCAAGUUUUUAGAAACUUCAAAAACUUGUACUACAAUAUACGUUGCUCCGUUUUAUCGAAAAAUGUUUACGCGUCAGUUAAACACAAGAAACUUUCAGGACACGCCUGGAAACAUUAAGACUCUUAUCUACGGCCUCAUCCGGCCCAAAAAUCGUAAAAUUAUCAUCUUUCAAACACUCAAAGAUACAUGUAUAAUCCUCGAAACAACUGCGAGAUGUCGCAAAGUUAAAAUUCGAAGAUAAUACGAACAAAUUGUCUGAACGCGACCACCAAAAAACCCUACACCCCGUUCGUCGAUUGGCCCCGACGAACACGCCAGCCGUCUUAAACAAACGCAAUUCGAUCACUCUUUUGAUCUUCAAAAACGUCCAACACAAGGACCAAAGCGCGCUACAACAAAAAUCUGAAAUUUUGGUCUAGCACUUCCAGUUGACUCUGAGAAGAUGCUCGAUUCGUACCAUACAAGUCAUAUAAGCCGAGAACCUAUCGCGGACUUUAAAUCGGUACGAGUCAGGAAGAAAUCGCAACAGGAAAAACUAUAGCCGGCUAAUCACCGCACAAACCUUAACUGAAAGUAAACCUAGGUCAUGCCCUAAACUCAACGCUCUGGUCUCAAACAUCUCAAGACAUGAUAUCUAAAAGAUACGAGCUCCUAAACCAUGUCUCUCCGUUCACAUCUCAAUGUUCCCGAAAAUCGUAAAGAUAGGUAAUUUUUUACGAGAAUCAUGAACGAACUAACAGAUCAAACGUCUAAUCGGAAUUAAAUGCGAGACGACAACUCAUAUUUUCUUCGACCCUAUUCAGGAAAACUCGAAACGAAACAUUCAUCAUAUAAUUAACCGCGUAAACCGGUAAGGGGAUUCAAAACCACCAACGGCCAGUCCCGAUAAACAAUAAAAACGGCCAAAACAGGCCCAUACAAAUCUCUCGGCCACACUCGGCCACAGACAUAAAAUACAAAGACAAGCAUCUUUCUUUCGAUAACUACUACACCUCUCAUAAUCCAAAGUCAAAGUCCCCGGACAACGAAGCACCGAACGCAUCCGCGGGACGAUACACUUCCUCGCCACCGUCAUGAAAUCCGGUCGGAACCUUCUCGGUAUCAGGGGACACCGGGACGGAAUCCCAGAACCCUUGAAUCCGUUCGUCAAUCAAAGGGAUGAGCGCCUCAGCAUGGGCACGUUCGUUCAUACAGCUCUUCAUCAAGCUCAUUUCCUCCUCGAACACAUAGUCAUCAGCUUGCGUCCUCCAAAGACUUCCGACUGAACCGCGGCACUCACGGAAAUCACCCACCGAGGUAAAGGCGUUCUUGAGGAACCCAUACUCAACAUGGAAUUGAGAGGCACGAGUCUUCAUCACCUCGAUGAUUUCUCGUUUGCCUUUCCUUUCCUCCUUACGGACAGCCCGCGCAUGAUCACGAGUAAGUUGCGCUUCUCGCUCCAACAUCUCGCCUUGCACGCGAGCGAGAUCUCGUUCCGCUUUCUCCGAUUUAAAACGAUAGACCAUUGCCUCCCUAUAGCUCGCUUCAAUGGCCGAGCCAAGCAAGUUGAGGCCCUGCGAAACCAAUUAACGCAUUGUAAGCAGAAAAAUAAAUACCUAGGCGAUCACAAAUAUUUUCAAAAAAAAUCAUACCCCGUUGAUGAUUCGGGACCCUUCCGCGACGACUUUCGGCCUCGCCGACUCUUUCGCAGGUGAAGGAGCAUCAAAACCCGGUGGCAGACCAGCAAAGAAAUCAUCGAAAUCCGGAAUAGGGGCCUCGCUCGAGCCACUCCCAUCGCCAUAAGCAAGGUUCGGAUCCCAUCCUGGAAGCAUAGAGUCAUCCAUCAAAAAUUCUAUGUCGCCAAGGUCGAUAUCCUUUCCCUUCCAAGAGCUCGACUCCGGCACAGCUGCUGGGGCUACAGCGGGAUUCUGUUCAUCAGGUUCAGAGUCGCUUCCCGUGUCCGCAACCGAGGCAGGACCAGGGUGCACGAACCUCAGUGCCUUCCGAAUCCUCUUCGGCGUAAAAGAAGUCCAAAAGAAGGGACCAUUCCUAAGAAGAUCCCUCACCGCAAUGAUGUCCUCAGGGAACGGAGCAAGAGGAUUGAUGAAAGGACGAUCGUUCGGCAACCUCCGGAACAGUGGAAUGCAACUCUCUUCGAAAUGAACUUCUUAACCACUGACAUAAAGUUUCGAGGGACCAGCCUAUGCUUGUUCGUAUCUUUGACAAGUUGAAGUCUCAAAAGCGCUUCAAAAUGAUCGACGAAAAGGGAAAGGCCAUGCUUGUAGCUCAGGAUAAGGAUCCCAAUAAGAUGCUGAAUUGCGAGGGGAGUCAACUGGCUUAUCGCGACCUCGAAACGGUCCAACACUCGGACGAGGAUUUCGGGGAUUGGGAACCAUAAGCGACAACGCACUACGAACGCCUCGUAGCAAGUGAAGUAACCCUCUGGGGGGGCUGUUAGCACACUCUCCGGGAUAGGGAACCCGGAACUCCACAGCAUCCGGGAUAUGGUAGAACGAUCGCAUGAUCGCGAGAAACUCGUCGGUACUCCUGCUCGAAUCUUCUUUCUCGACUCCACGAUGGUUCAGGACUGGGAACGACUUCUCUUUGGGAGGAGUCAUCGAACCAUAAUGUGCAACCCACCAUGCCUCAUUCUCGGCGGGAUGUACCGAGUGAGGCACACACUCCAUCUUCGGAACAAUGAGCUCUUUGUAAGCACUCGCGGAUGAAGACCCUUUUUUCGCAAUCUUUUUCUUGCUCGACCUUUUUACACUUCUCUUGAGAAAAUAGAGGAAAAGGGUGGAGAGAAAGAAAGAAAGUUUUUCUUAAGAAAGUUUUUCUUAUGAAACAAGUUACCUCCCUUCUUAUAGGCAUGAGAAUUUACUAUUCAAGCUCGGACUUUCGGAUAUUAAUUCCAUCCAACACGCCUAACUUGCCAAACAUGCCUAACCGCACGCUAGGAUCCUACGAUGCAUGAUCCUAACGGGCUGGGGGCUAACUGUUGGGGUCAAAAACGGUUACGACGGAAUUACCACCCGAAAAUCCUCGGAGAUCGUAUUUCCGAAAGAGAUAGUAAAAAGAAAGAUAUAACUUUCGUAAAAAAUAACCAAUACGAAGUUUUUACGAAGAAGUAUCCUUGAAGAUUCAAACCAAACGAACCAAGCUCGGUCGUUGCGUAAUUACAGUGCAUACACGCCGUCUAGUCGCUACGUAGCGACCGAACAUCCGACCCAUUCGGUCGCUACGUAGCAAACGAGCUCGGCCAAGCUCGGUCGCUACGUAGCGACCGAGCUCAAGCCAAAGCUCGGUCGCUACGUAGCUUCUUUGAAAGUGGGAUUGUUUCUUCAUCCUAACUCCUAUGACAUUUAUUCAACCUCCUGGUGGUUCUCCACUACUUUAUGUAUCAAAAUCAAGCUUCUUAUAUCGCGAUUCGUCCUGGUUUGAUUAGAAUGACAAAGAAGUUAUCAUAUUCCCAGACAAGAAAACUGCGAUCACCUGAUUUGAAAGUGGUAUAGCCUCGUCAUCCUAGCUCCUAUGAGAUUUAUUAAACUUCCUGGUGAUUCUCCACUAUUUUUUGUAUCAAAAUCAAGCUUCUUAUAUCGCGAUUCGUCCUGGUUUGAUUAGAAUGACAAAGAAGUUAUCAUAUUCCCAGACAAGAAAACUGCGAUCACCUGAUUUGAAAGUGGUAUAGCUUCGUCAUCCUAGCUCCUAUGAGAUUUAUUCAACUUCCUGGUGGUUCUCCACUACUUUAUGUGUCAAACUCAAGCUUCUUACAUCGUGAUUCAUCCUGGUUUGAUUAGAAUAACAAAGAAUUUGUCAUAUUCCUACACAGGAAAAUAGGGAUCACCUGAUUUGAAAGUGGGAUAGCUUCUUCAUCCUAACUCCUAUGAGAUUUAUUAAACUUCCUGGUGAUUCUCCACUAUUUUUUGUAUCAAAAUCAAGCUUCUUAUAUCGCGAUUCGUCCUGGUUUGAUUAGAAUGACAAAGAAGUUGUCAUAUUCCUAAAUAGGAAAACUAGCGAUCACCUGAUUUGAAAAUGGGAUAGCUUAUUCAUCCUAUCUCCUAUGACAAUUAUUAAACUUCCUGGUGGUUCUCCACUACUUUGUGUAUCAAAAUCAAUCUUCUUACAUCAUCGCGAUUCAUCCUGGUUUGAUUAGAAUGACAAAGUAGUUGUCAUAUUCCCAAAAAGGAAAACUUGAGAUCACCUGAUUUGAAAGUGGGAUAGCUUCUUUAUCCUAACUCCUAUGAGAUUUAUUCAACUUCCUUGUGGUUCUCUACUACUUUAUGUAUCAAAAUCAAGCUUCUUACAUCGUGGUUCAUCUUGCUUUGAUUUGAAUGACAAAGAAGUUAUCAUAUUUCCAAACAGGAAAACUGGGGAUCACCUGAUUUGAAAGAGGGAUAGCUUCUUCAUCUUAACUCCAAUGAGAUUUAUUCAACUUCCUGGUGGUUCUCCUCUACUUUAUUUAUCUAAAUCAAGCUUCUUACAUCGCGAUUCAUCCUGGUUUGAUUAGAAUGACAAAGUAGUUGUCAUAUUCCCAAACAGGAAAACUGGAAUCACCUGAUUUGAAAGUGGGAUAGCUUCUUUAUCCUAACUCCUAUGAGAUUUAUUAAACUUCCUGGUGAUUCUCCACUACUUUAUGUAUCAAAAUCAAGCAUCUUACAUCACGAUUCAUCCUGGUUU